RNAcentral lists this long non-coding RNA (199 nucleotides) under Elaeis guineensis (African oil palm). RNAcentral describes it as "long non-coding RNA (EGUI_LNC071559)". Lineage: Eukaryota; Viridiplantae; Streptophyta; Magnoliopsida; Arecales; Arecaceae. The record is from RNAcentral.
UUCUAGAUUAUAAUUUAUAGAGGUCUUUUUCAAAAUUUCUUUGUUUGGGAUUCUUUUCAUCAAUUUGGUUUUCGACUAAAAUUCAUUCAUGUGAUCCAUAUGAGAAGAAAAAACAUUCUUUUCAUUUUUCACUUAGUUCCAAAUAUGAGUACAAGCAUGAGAGGCUUUCACUGAAAAAGGUUCCUCUUUUACAAACCAG